This is a non-coding RNA of Caerostris extrusa, 75 nucleotides long. The record is from the annotation of a GenBank genome assembly. NCBI's taxonomy places the organism in Eukaryota, Metazoa, Arthropoda, Arachnida, Araneae, Araneidae.
GGCCUGAUGGCAGAGUGAUUAACGCUCUGGUCCCUGGUGUGGAUGUUUGUAGUGGUUCGAAUCCGCUUUAAACCG